AUUGAACGCUGGCGGCAGGCCUAACACAUGCAAGUCGAGCGGAUGAAGGGAGCUUGCUCCUGGAUUCAGCGGCGGACGGGUGAGUAAUGCCUAGGAAUCUGCCUGGUAGUGGGGGAUAACGUCCGGAAACGGGCGCUAAUACCGCAUACGUCCUGAGGGAGAAAGUGGGGGAUCUUCGGACCCCACGCUAUCAGAUGAUCCUAGGUCGGAUUAGCGAGUUGGUGGGGUAAAGGCCUACCAAGGCGACGAUCCGUAACUGGUCUGAGAGGAUGAUCAGUCACACUGGAACUGAGGCACGGUCCAGACUCCUACGGGAGGCAGCAGUGGGGAAUAUUGGACAAUGGGCGAAAGCCUGAUCCAGCCAUGCCGCGUGUGUGAAGAAGGUCUUCGGAUUGUAAAGCACUUUAAGUUGGGAGGAAGGGCAGUAAGUUAAUACCUUGCUGUUUUGACGUUACCAACAGAAUAAGCACCGGCUAACUUCGUG
RNAcentral lists this ribosomal RNA (484 nucleotides) under uncultured bacterium. Its description in RNAcentral is "partial 16S ribosomal RNA". It matches the Rfam family "Bacterial small subunit ribosomal RNA", at positions 30 to 507 of the family's 1533-position model. The record is from RNAcentral.